This 1624-nucleotide unclassified non-coding RNA is filed under the name Schistocerca americana (American grasshopper). Its description in RNAcentral is "transcriptional adapter 2B-like, transcript variant X1". Lineage: Eukaryota; Metazoa; Arthropoda; Insecta; Orthoptera; Acrididae. The record is from RNAcentral.
AACAAGGUGCAUGUAUCUUCUAUCCACAGUUAAAUGUUCAGUUUCAGUUAAAAAGUUACAUGGAGAAUUAACUGGCAGUGGCAAAUUGUAUUUUAUUGUAAUACUGCUUAUUUAAAAGCUGAAGCUGUUUAGAUUGGAUACCUCUACUAUUUUCUCAAUUCAGAUGUAUUGGCAUAAUGGCGGAUAUGUGGUGACUACUGGGAAGUUGUUGAGUAGUCUGAGAGAGUUAUGUUUCCUAAUGGCUAUGAUCAGAUUGCUGUUUGUAUAAUUUUACUGGUAACUGCUAAAAGUGUUUUGCACUAAUAUUUAUGAAAUUUGGGAAGGCUGGUUUAAUGAUUUCCAUCAUGUUUUGGUUUGAUGAUGUUUGGUAGCUGACGUCAUAAGAGAACUAACAUGGCGGAUUUAUUUGCAAAAUAUAACUGUACAUAUUGCCAGGAAGAUAUCACGGGACUAAGAAUAAAGUGUGCAGAAUGCCCUGAUUUCGAUUUGUGCCUACAGUGCUUCUCUGCUGGAGGAGAGAUUGGUCAGCAUCGAAAUGAUCAUGCCUACCAGUUCAUGGAUUCGGGUGCAAUUGGAGUUGGUCUUGGACGAGGUGGAUGGUCAGCUCGUGAAGAACUGCAUUUAUUGAAUGCCAUUGAACAGUAUGGCUUUGGAAACUGGGAAGAUAUAAGCAGACAUAUAGAGACUCGUACAAGUGAAGAAGCCAAGGAAGAAUACAUAUCACGCUUCAUAGAGGGAAGCAUCGGUCGUUUAACAUGGCCUCCUGCACAGAGUUCAAAAUCGAAACUGACUGAUCAGACAUGCACAAAUUCUGAUCCACUUUCUCCUACACUGACAGCACAGCUGCCGCCAAUGGAUAUUACUCCAGAAGAGGCAACACAGCUUGGAUAUAUGCCACAGCGAGAUGAUUUUGAGAGGGAAUAUGACAAUGGAGCAGAAUCAUUGGUGUCGUCAUUGUUUGUAAACAACAUUGAAGAUGAAGAAUUGGACAUUGCACUGAAACUGGCCCAGGUUGACAUGUACACAAGACACCUUCGUGAAAGGGCGAGACGGAAGAGAUUGGUGAGAGACUAUCAGUUAGUUUCGCAGUUCUUUGCUUCCAACAGGAAAGACAGACCAGUGCAACGGAAGAAGCUUUCUAAAGAGGAAAGGGAAUUCCAGGAUCGUAUGAGGGUUUUCACUCAGUUUCAUACUGCUCAAGAACAUGAGCACUUCCUAAACAACCUUCAGAGGGAGAGAGAACUUAGACUACGCAUCAGCGAGUUGAUGAGGUAUCGACGCAAUGGCUUAACUCAGCAUGAAGAGUGCACUCAUUUUGAGCAGCAACGUCUACAGUUUGAGGAGUGGAAGGAAAAACGAUCUCAGUGGGUCCAUCCUCUCAUCGCAAUCAAGAAAAAGAGAAAGAAACGAAGACGGCUCAUCUUCUAUCGAAGAAAGGUCCACCUGCAGAAGCAGCAGAAGUCCCAGCCACGAUAGCAGUGGAGAUGGGGUGGAGACGAUGACACCAGAGGAGAUCUCCACCCUGCCAGAAUACCAUCUCCUGACACCUCAUGAAGUUAAGCUGUGUACAUCAUUGAAUAUGAAGCCUUCCCAAUACCUUACGUGGAAGACACUACUACUUCGU